RNAcentral lists this ribosomal RNA (253 nucleotides) under uncultured bacterium. RNAcentral describes it as "partial 16S ribosomal RNA". It matches the Rfam family "Bacterial small subunit ribosomal RNA", at positions 524 to 776 of the family's 1533-position model. The record is from RNAcentral.
UACGGAGGGGGCUAGCGUUGUUCGGAAUUACUGGGCGUAAAGCGCGCGUAGGCGGACCUGCAAGUCGGGGGUGAAAGCCCGAGGCUCAACCUCGGAACUGCCUUCGAUACUGCGGGUCUCGAGUCCGGGAGAGGUGAGUGGAAUUCCUAGUGUAGAGGUGAAAUUCGUAGAUAUUAGGAAGAACACCAGUGGCGAAGGCGGCUCACUGGCCCGGUACUGACGCUGAUGCGCGAAAGCGUGGGUAGCAAACGGG